AGAACCUCAAUAUAAGAUUUUAUUUUGCAAAAACUUCAAAAGCAAUAGAAAAAAUAGGCCUUGGUACAAUUUGACUCUGGUUACAAGCUUCAAUUUGCCAAGAUUUGUCCAUUGCUUCCACAAACUUGAACGUUCUUCUAUUCUAUAAAAGAAACUGUAAGUGAAUUUCACGUGCAACUAAUAAAUAGAAUGCUUCUAUUUUCAUCACACCUUCAAACUUGGCAACACAAGUAGUAUUAAAGAAAGUGCAACUCUUAGUUUUAUGUACAUUGUAUGGCCUUUCUAUUCAUAGUUUUGACACUUCUUUCAUUUUAUAAGCAGAAACCAGAGAAGAUUAGUACAAAUGUAAACUAGAGUGAAUGUGGGAGGUUCUGCAUUUUAUCUCCAGUAAAUGAUUCCUCGCCAUUACUCAGAUAGCUCAGAGCUGACAUCCUGUAGAGACAGGUGAACACGAGGAUAUGUAACCCAAUGGUGUAGAAAAAUGCAAAAGCUCGAGCAUACUUGUUGCCCAGAAGGAAACGUCCACUACUAAGUGUGAUUCUGUCCCUGAAACCUAAUUCCUUGUAUCUUUGAUCUCUUUCCUUCUUCGAAAACGCAGCAAAUGGAUUUAUAUCAUCUUCAUAUAUCUUCUUGUACUUGGACUCAACGUCUGAGCUGAAGCCACUUUCCAAAUCCUCUGCUUGCUUCUUAGAUCCCCUAGAAACUACUUUCUCAAGAUUGUAAUCCUGGACAUAACGUAUCUUGCCAUAUAGUUUGACAUUAUCAGCUUUUGUCUUCUCCAGCUCUGCCGUUAAGAUCCCUAUCUUCUCUUUCAAUUGCCUUACCUCUUCUUCCGUCUCUCGCAAACGUGUCCUGAAUCGAUCUCGUUGAUUGCAGAUAACCUUGAGCAUUGAGUUCUGGUCUUGAUCUGACAAUACAUGUUUCUGGUCUGCAUUCUCAGUUAACUCAGCACCCCCAGCCUCUGAAAGAUCCCAAUCAUCAAAUAGACCACCUUUUCGAUCUUUAGAACUUCAAUAUAUCAUCUUCCAGCUUUUGUAUUAACUUUUGUUGUUCCUUAACUUUUGCAGUAAGCUCUGCUAUCUUGCCUUCGGCUGUUUCCAGCAAAGACACUUUCUCAGAUAGUUUAACCUUUGACUGUGUGAGUUCAUGCUCCAUUUUCCGAUUCUUAUCCAGAAGAAGAGACUCCAGUUUGCUCAUCUCUUCCCCAGUAGUAGCUACUUCCCAAUCUUCAGCCUCAGUUGAAUUGUAGCCCACAGCCUGCAGAAUUUUCACUUUUUUACGCAAAUCAUCAACUAAUUUUGCAGUUGGCCUCGCAUGAAGCUCUUUCUUCAUCUCCUCAAGAGCAAGUUCCUUCUCAUUGAGUGCCAUGUUCAACUUUUUGAACUCAUUCAUGUGCUGUUCUCGCUCAUUUGUCAAGGUGGUUUCAAUAUUGUGGAGUUCCAUGUUCAGUUCAGAUAUAAUCUUCUCUUUCGCACUCAAAGAAUUCUCAAGAAAACUAUUUGAAUCCACACUGUCACUAUUCUUACUUCCUGUCUCUUCAUUUGCUGAUUGCAACUGAGAACGGAGGAGACCUUAUAAGGCUUUAUACACUCCAGUGGGAGCAUAAAUAGAUACUGUCAUUUGAAGACCAUUGAUUCCACUAUCCACAAUGAAAAGUGAAUGACACCAUUCUUCCUAGCAUAUUUAGGAUGCUAACAAAGGUGCAAGGCUGCAAGCACCUACAACCAACCAGAAUUAUUCUUAAACAACAUCAGGAGAGCAUCUAACAUGAAAAAUCGAACAAUAGAAGAAGAAGAACAAGAAGAAGCAACUAUUCUAAGUCUUGAAGGGGGGCAAAAACAUGAGGGGAUCAGAGAAAAGCAGGUUAACCAACUGUGAAACAGACCUUUUCUCUCUCAAGGCUAAGAAGUCGCGUUUGAGCCCUUUCCACUUCAUCCAUCAAAAGAUUGACCUCUGACUGUUUUGCGGCCCUUUCUUCCUCUGAUUGAGCACGGACUUCAAACAAUUGGCUUUGUGCAAGUUCAUGCAAUUUCUGCAUGUUGGCAACACUUUCUUUAGCUUGUCGUAAUUGAUCUUGCAAAGACUGCUCCCUUUCUUUUAAAACUUCUAGUGUUUUCUGGUUCUCUUCAGCCAAACUACGCUGUUUCAUCUCCACAAUUUCCUUCACUUUUUCCUCCAUCUGUUGCUCUAAUUGACGAUUACGUUCUUCAAGUCUUCUUAUUGUUGCCUGCUGAUUCUUUAAGCGAGUUGCUUCUGUCCUAAACUCUUCAAGCUCAAUUUUCAUCUUCCGAUUCUCAGAUUCCAGCUCAGACAAUGCCAGAUCUUGCUCAGCUAUUGAUGCAAGAGCUGGAUAAGGAUCUGGAGCCUCAUAUAGCUUCUGAUAUAUAUUCAGAAAAGCAUUUUCUCCAAAUUUUGCUCUCUUGGUAAGAUUAUCAACUUCUUCUUGAUAGCCCUUAAGUAAAGAAUUAAACAAACCCAACUUUUCCUCUGGUGAAGCCUUUUUGAAAUCUCUAGUGCUCUCUGCAAGCUUUCGUCGGUUUUUCAGACUGUUCUCUUGAUUUUCAGCUAUCCUAAGUCCUUGUUCAUCCAACACAGUUUUCUCCUUCUCCAAUUCAAAUUCUUUCCAGAAAUUGGAUACGACGGGAAUGGGAGAAGAGGACUGGUGGUUCGAUUUGUCUCCUCCUUGCGGAGCCUCCAUUUUUCGUAAAUUUGGAUCUCUCCGCUUUAGCUUUUGUAGAUGAUCUGAUUAUACUUGGUUUGAUUAUACUUGGUUUUACUUCAACUUCAAUUCAAGGUGCCAAUUGGGGAUCAAAUGUAGAUGAUCUGAGAAAGGACUUUUAUGUAGAUUUUGGUAAACGAUCCACAAUUUCUCCUGUGCUUCACAAUUUUUUUUGAUGGUGUUUUCAGAAGUAACAGUGGCGUGGCCGUGCAGUGGUCUGGGCCUAACCCGAACCGAAGCUAUCCCUUGUAAUGGGCCUGCCCGUCUCUUCUUAUCUGCGGUCGUUUGAGCCUCAGAAAUGCAAUGAAGCGAAUGACUGUAAAUUGUUUCCCUCCUUGUUGAAGCAAUCAAUUUGUCGAAGCAUUUGCCUCUCAAAAAAUAUGAGUCACACAGGCCUCUCAAUUUAAUUGCAUUAAAUCACAAAUAGCUUGUACUAAGGAUCGACAACACUCCAAAGGUUGGCAAGAUCCAUGGAUCAUAGCUAACAUGGUAAUAUUAUCACACUCUACGAGAACAGAAUCUAACCCUAAAGACUGAGCAAAUAUGAUGCCAUGAAAG
This 3277-nucleotide unclassified non-coding RNA is filed under the name Hevea brasiliensis (rubber tree). Lineage: Eukaryota; Viridiplantae; Streptophyta; Magnoliopsida; Malpighiales; Euphorbiaceae. The record is from RNAcentral.